GACACUGGAGAAGCAGCAUGUACAACAGAUUGACUGCAGUAGCUGCCCACCAGGGAGGGAGAUACACUGGGGGAUAGGGAUCCUUGGAGAGAUACUGAUACACAUACACAAAGUUGUGCAUAUUUGCUUUAAAAAAAUCAAAUUAUCACUAUUUUGAUUAUUUUUGUCAUUAUGUACACAUAGUUGAUAAACAGUUACAGUUUUGUGAAAUGUUAAAAUUUGUCCUUUUUAAAAAAAUAGAGGAAACCAAAAAAGUAGAUAAAGUCGUUUUUAUUCUUCAGGUUAAAGAAUUAUAUUUCUUAAGCACCCACCAUAUCCAGUGUUAUAACUUACUAAGUGAAGUUUUAUUUUGGAAUACUUCAUUUCAGAGAUCACAGGAAGAAAUGUUGGUGCUGGCAUAGAAAUGAUUUUAAUUACUGCUUGGCAUUAAUAACAUAGUGAAAUGCAUCUUUGUAUGUGUGUGUUUUUUUUUAUCGCACAUCUUCAUUACCUCCACUUGACUGGCCUUUACCAACUCAUUUUGGACAAUGUGAACUGAAAAUAGAAGUGCAACCUAAAACUCAUCAUCGAGCCCAUUAUGAAACUGAAGGUAGCCGAGGAGCAGUAAAAGCAUCUACUGGGGGGCAUCCUGUUGUGAAGAUCCGAGCCAUCUCCCCUCAACCCCAUAGUUUAGCUUAGUUGGAUUCAAAGAUUAUUACUAAUUCUGUUUUAUUUAUAUCAUGAAGUGUUUUUGUUUUUUGUUUGGAUUCUGUAUUCCUUGGAUUCAUGAAUGUUUGAGAACAUGUUUGUUGUCUAUGUAUUUAAACGUCAGAAUGGCUAUCUAUAAUAAUCUUGAGUCACCCAUUUUCUCAGAAUUUGUUUUAUGGCAUUGUGUAUUGUAGUGAAGUGAAUUUGAACAAAUAGAACUUAUGAACUAUAAUUUCCUGUGCUGGCCAUGCUUUAUGAUUUGUCAUUAUUACCUAAACAUGUUUCACAGUUCUUGACAAAGCUUAACAUUUUAGGUGGGUUUAAAAUGACAGUUACUGAAAAAGAUUGGAGGCAGGGGGAUACAGUAGGGGAACUGGAUGAAGGUUGUCAAAAGAUACAAACUUCCAGUUAUAAGUAAGUACUGAGGAUGUGUAAUGUACAAAUGAUGACUGUAGUUAAUACUGCUGUAUGGUAUAUUUGAAAGUUGUUCAGAGUAGAUACUAAAAGUUCUUGUAACAAGGAAAAAACUUUUUUCCUUUCUCUUUCUCUCUCUUUCUGAUAGCUAUGUGAGCAGAUGGAUGUUAACUAAAUUUAUCAUAGUAAUCAACCAGCAAUAUAUGUAAAUCAAGUCACUAUGCUGUAUACUUUAAAUUUAUACUGUGCUGUAUGUCAGUUGUACCUCAAUAAAGCCGAAAGAAAAAAUGUGAGGAAAAAUCAA
Molecule: long non-coding RNA, 1405 nt
Organism: Manis pentadactyla (Chinese pangolin)
Lineage: Eukaryota; Metazoa; Chordata; Mammalia; Pholidota; Manidae
Exons: 2
Source: RefSeq, a predicted model, not a curated record